Molecule: ribosomal RNA, 376 nt
Filed under: uncultured bacterium
Lineage: Bacteria
Description: partial 16S ribosomal RNA
Rfam family: Bacterial small subunit ribosomal RNA
Source: RNAcentral
CCUACGGGAGGCAGCAGUGAGGAAUAUUGGUCAAUGGGCGAGAGCCUGAACCAGCCAAGUCGCGUGAAGGAAGACGGUCCUAUGGAUUGUAAACCUCUUUUAUAGGGGAGUAAAAGACGCCACGUGUGGCAUUACGAAUGUACCAUACGAAGAAGCAUCGGCUAACUCCGUGCCAGCAGCCGCGGUAAUACGGAGGAUGCGAGCGUUAUCCGGAUUUAUUGGGUUUAAAGGGUGCGUAGGAGGAUUGUUAAGUCAGCUGGGAAAAUUUCCGGUUCAACCGUGAUAGUGCAGUUGAAACUGGGGGUCUUGAGUAGACGAGAAGUGGGCGGAAUGCGUGGUGUAGCGGUGAAAUGCUUAGAUGUCACGAAGAACUCCG